GAAAUGCGAUAAGUAAUGUGAAUUGCAGAAUUCAGUGAAUCAUCGAAUCUUUGAACGCACAUUGUGCCCGCCAGUAUUCUGGCGGGCAUGCCUGUUCGAGCGUCAUUUCAACCAUCAAGCCCCGGGCUUGUGUUGGGGACCUGCGGCUGCCGCAGGCCCUGAAAAGCAGUGGCGGGCUCGCUGUCACACCGAGCGUAGUAGCAUACAUCUCGCUCUGGGCGUGCUGCGGGUUCCGGCCGUUAAACCACCUUCGUAACCCAAGGUUGACCUCGGAUCAGGUAGGAAGAGCCGCUGAACUUAAGC
RNAcentral lists this unclassified non-coding RNA (303 nucleotides) under plant metagenome. RNAcentral describes it as "partial contains 5.8S ribosomal RNA, internal transcribed spacer 2, and large subunit ribosomal RNA". The stretch from base 1 to 105 matches the Rfam family "5.8S ribosomal RNA", at positions 50 to 154 of the family's 154-position model. The record is from RNAcentral.